Molecule: non-coding RNA, 507 nt
Organism: Chelonoidis abingdonii (Abingdon island giant tortoise)
Lineage: Eukaryota; Metazoa; Chordata; Testudines; Testudinidae
Source: RefSeq, a predicted model, not a curated record
ACAAAUAAUGUUGCGUAAUCCCUAUCAGUCUCUGCUUCUAAACUGAGCGCCUUUUGGUGGAGGGGAUGUGCAAAGAGCAGAGCUAAUAGUUUGCCCACAAGGAGGAGCUGACAGUGACGCUGAGCAGCCUGGAAAGUCAUCACUUGCUGUCUGCUUUUCAGCGAUUACAAACGGGGGGGUGAGACUGUGGUGCUCCUCUGUGCUUAUCAGCUGGUGUAAGGCUCCCUAAGCCAGAAUGUGAAGCCGGGUAUGUUUGUGAGCCAUAAAAGAAGCAGAGUUAUUUGCUGUCGAUGUGAAACCAAAAGUAACCAGUGCCAGGCUCUUGCUGUUGUAUCCAAUCCAGUGGAAUGUGGAUCUUGCUUCUUUUUCAUUGUCCAAAGAAGGAAAGCAACGCUGACAAAGUGCUAAAAGAGAAGAUCUGUGAACAAAGGAAAAGCUCUCCCCAGGCCCUAUGGGUAGGGCCAAAUUCCCCCAUGAUGUAACUCCCCUGAAGGCUAUCAUGGGAGA